Molecule: long non-coding RNA, 1023 nt
Filed under: Danio rerio (zebrafish)
Lineage: Eukaryota; Metazoa; Chordata; Actinopteri; Cypriniformes; Danionidae
Description: si:ch211-39i2.2 (ENSDARG00000104472.2)
Source: RNAcentral
GCUGAUGCAACAACAGCGCUCACUGCUCAGUAUAUAACCCGGCAGCUAGGAGGAAGACGGCGCUUCUCAACCUUACGCAUUCAUGGAAGAAACAAAGAAACCGUCAGUGGAAGAGUUAGGUGAGGUCUCGGGGAAACAGUCGGAGGAAAUCACGCUAAAAUGGUCUAUACACAAGCUCUGGUGUUCGGCAUGUCCGUCAGGAAUGAGCCGGAAAACCUAACGCUGGCGGAGGACCUAAGCCUCAUCCCGGGGCUCAGAGGAGACGGAGAGCCGCUCCAGCACUGCGGUAGACUCAUGAAGGCACAAAGCUUCUCCAGUCUGGGAUCUGCGUGCAGUUUGGAAGAGGAAGAAGGUGAAGAUGUGUGUCUUCAGCUUGACCUGUCCAAACGCAUCGAGAAGUGCCUCUAUGAGGCCAAAGGAGCAAGUCUGCGCUGCCAGGAGCUGCGCUUGCCCAGACACAUGACCACACGGCUGGCCGGAGACAUCCUGCGAUUAUCCGUGGAUGAGCCAUGCGGGAUACGGGGAGCUCUGAUCCACAUGUACAUGGAAAACAAAGGCACACUACUGAAUCUAGGCACAGUUAUUCCUGAUCAGAGUCUCACGCCAACAUUUGAAGUCUCUGUGGUCCUACAGGCAGAUUUGGGAGGAUGGCCUCCGCUGAAGAUCCUGUUUGGUGGAGGGAAGGUGUUGAGCAUUCGAAGAGAAUACCGAAUAAUCAAACGCAAGCUCUACUCAUCCGCUACUCCAACUGUACUGGAGUUUUAUUAACACUGUGGUAUUAAUAGAAAAAAAUGAGUCCAUGGCUGAGGUUUCAGAGGAAGACGAGCUCAUUUUGCACAUUGUUAUUCACAUCGAGGUUAAGUUGGUUUUAUAUUCGCACAUUCGUUCAUUUUAACAGUCCCUAUAUUGGUUACCAAGCCACUUUGAAUAUUCGGUCUGAAAUCGCAUGACUUCAAAACAACAUUACGAUCAUUUCAUUGGCUGUCAACAAUGUCUGAAUUUCGCUAUUCAGAAUUUGCAAGA